AGUAGUCCCACUGCGUGGUUUGAGCUCCAGCCUCGCGCUGGGCCGCUUGAGGGAGCGGAGCGGCGGGCGCUGAGCCGGGAGCCCUCUCGGCUUUGCGGGCCUUCUCCCGAGGGGCUCCUCUGGGGGAGGCGAGAGGGCCGCUCUGAGGCGGGAGCGGAGGGAUCCGAGCAGGCGGAGUUGUAAGGCGGCGGGCGCGUGCGGGACGCGCGGCGGCUGCGCGGGCUGAGGGGACCCGGCUGAGGGGACGCGGCCGCCCCCGGGACCCCGGCCCUGCGCCAGAGCCGCCGCCGGCAGAUCUGGAGUGUGCUAACAUUGCAUUUCUGCCAGGAAAACGGGAGUGAGGAGCACUACCCAGUGCAGGAUAGUGGCACAGGGAGGUAAGAGAAGAAAUCUUGGAGUACAAACUUUGUAGUUUGUAGUUUUAGGGGUGUUGUUUCCUUACUUUUAUUUUACCCUGGGUACAGUGCUGCUCUUAUGCCCUAGUUUUCCCCAUCUUAGUGUAAAAAUAAUGUGCCUUGUUUGAAUUUUCACUUAUCCAGGACAUUGACAAAGACACCUUCUGAUACCUAAAAGAUAAAACAGCAAGACUUACUGAAGUAGGAUAUUUAAUUUAAAGCUACCAUCUCUUCAAAUAUACAAGCAUCAUGUUGGAAUAUCUCAAUAAUCACAAAUUCUGUGGGAUUUCUAGAGCAGAGGAGCAAAUCUUCAGCAUCUCCAAAAGUCCUGAAAUAUAGACAUAUUGGAAUGCAUUUUUUUUCCAGCUCUGACAUCUAGUCAGUAACUAGCAUAGGAAACCUACUAAAAUCUUUUGGAGCAGAGUGCUGGCUCCGGGUGCAUUUGCUGCAUUAUGUUGUAGCUGCUCUUGCACAUGACUCUUGCUGCUGCUGAAAUGAGAUUGAGAGAACCAAUAUUUGACUAACUCCUCACUGUUUCAAUAUGUGAGAAACAUGGCAGAAGGCAGAAUAGACUCCAACUACUCUUUGUUGAGCUUAAGAUAAGAAAUUGCUGCAAUUCAUGUAAAAUAUGGCAAGCCAGUAUAAUAAAUAAUAGGAAGAAAUUAAUCUGAAUUGUAUA
This 1074-nucleotide long non-coding RNA is filed under the name Lonchura striata (white-rumped munia). RNAcentral's name for it is "domestica (Bengalese finch) lncRNA (ENSLSDG00000018095.1)". Lineage: Eukaryota; Metazoa; Chordata; Aves; Passeriformes; Estrildidae. The record is from RNAcentral.